Molecule: long non-coding RNA, 1218 nt
Filed under: Chloebia gouldiae (Gouldian finch)
Lineage: Eukaryota; Metazoa; Chordata; Aves; Passeriformes; Passeridae
Description: Erythrura gouldiae (Gouldian finch) lncRNA (ENSEGOG00005011830.1)
Source: RNAcentral
AUGGAGCCAGAGAGGAAUUUGCAUGUAAGUGCUUCCUUGGGAAGAGCAGUCACGAGGAAAACACUUGGAAUUUCCUCUGCAUCCCCGUUUUUAGCCCAGGAGUGCAUGGAGAGCUGGAGGUCAGUUGGGAUAAACGGGACAGGGACCUCCUUUGUAGGGAUUGGAAAACUUGGGAUGGGCAAAUCCUGCUCAAGGAAGGGGAAUAACACAUCCGAGGGCAAAAUAUUCCUGCAUUUCUCCCCUGGAAUUGCCUCUGCUCCCUAUUUGCCCAUACUGGAAAUCCAGGGAAGUUUUUCCAAAGGGGAUGAGCCCCCACGAGUCGCAGAUUCCAGCCCCUCCUUGCGUGGAAGGCAGGGAAGCUCUGCCCACCUUGAGGGUGAAAUAUUUCCAGAUGUUUCCUUUCAAACUGGCUUUGCUUCCUGUGAACCCACACAGGAAAUCCUGGGAAGGUUUUCCAAAGGGGAUGAGCUCCCACAAGUCAUGGACACUCCGGUUUCCAACCUGUCCAUGCAUGGAAAGUAUGGAAUUACCCCUCCUUCCAUGGAAUACUCAGAAGCUCUGCCCACCUUGGGGUUGAAAUAUUCCUGCAUUCCUCCCCUAGAAUUGGCUCUGCUCCCUAUCCACUCAUACUGGAAAUCCUGGGAAGUUUUUCCAAAUGGGAUGAGCCCUCGCAAGUCCCAUUUCCAACCCCUCAUCCCACGGAAUUCCCAGGAGCCGCUGCCGCCUGCGGAGCUCGUCAAUCAGCCCCGAAUGCAGCCAACGUUGAUUAUUUUUAUCCAGGGCCGCUGCGGUGUUUGUGCGCAGGAAUCAGACCAUGAAAUCCCUGGAUCUGGAGCAUUCCCAGCUCUCCGGCACCCGGAGCAGCUGAGCCGUGCCGGGGUGAGGUGUCAAAAGCCUCCGAGUGUCACUCGAUGCCACCUGAUGUCCCCAAGGCGGGCAACGCAGCCGGUGUCGGACACGGGACCCCAGGGCAGGCGGGAGCAGGGCCCGCUCCGGAAUCAACCCCCUGACCCCAAUUCCCAGCCUGGAAAGCGAAAUGUGGGACAAGCACCGCUGGCCUUGGACAAUCCGGCUCAGAGAGAGCGGGAGCAGCAAAUCCGCUUUUCUUUGGGAUCGUUUCGGCCCCUGGAGCUGGAUUGGCCCCACGGGGGUGGCGGAUGCUCCGUGGAUUCCAAGGAUGCAGCGAGGGCUGGGAUGAGGAGAGGGGAAUAUUCCUGA